RNAcentral lists this ribosomal RNA (253 nucleotides) under uncultured bacterium. RNAcentral's name for it is "partial 16S ribosomal RNA". It matches the Rfam family "Bacterial small subunit ribosomal RNA", at positions 524 to 776 of the family's 1533-position model. The record is from RNAcentral.
UACGUAGGGUGCGAGCGUUGUCCGGAAUUACUGGGCGUAAAGGGCUCGUGGGCGGCCAACUAAGUCGGACGUGAAAUCCCCAGGCUCAACCUGGGAACUGCGUCCGAUACUGGAUGGCUUGAAUCCGGGAGAGGGAUGCAGAAUUCCAGGUGUAGCGGUGAAAUGCGUAGAUAUCUGGAGGAAUACCGGUGGCGAAGGCGGCAUCCUGGACCGGCAUUGACGCUGAGGAGCGAAAGCCAGGGGAGCAAACGGG